This 123-nucleotide ribosomal RNA is filed under the name Faecalibaculum rodentium. Its description in RNAcentral is "partial 23S ribosomal RNA". It matches the Rfam family "Bacterial large subunit ribosomal RNA", at positions 2804 to 2925 of the family's 2925-position model. The record is from RNAcentral. Lineage: Bacteria; Bacillati; Bacillota; Erysipelotrichia; Erysipelotrichales; Erysipelotrichaceae.
ACGAGAUCUCCCAUUCUGAAAGAGAAGUAAGACCCCUUGAAGACUACGAGGUGGAUAGACCAGGGAUGGAAGUGCAGAGAUGCAUGGAGUUGACUGGCACUAAUCGGUCGAGGACUUGAUCUA